Molecule: ribosomal RNA, 1781 nt
Filed under: Cladotricha australis
Lineage: Eukaryota; Ciliophora; Spirotrichea; Sporadotrichida; Gonostomatidae
Description: Cladotricha sp. JWa-2020a partial large subunit ribosomal RNA
Rfam family: Eukaryotic large subunit ribosomal RNA
Source: RNAcentral
AAGAGUAGCUAAGAUUGCCUCAGUAACGGCGAGUGAAGCGGCAAGAGCCCAAACUGAAAAUCUUCACACUGCGUGUGACGAAUUGUAAUCUAAAGAUGGGUCGCUCACCGGGCGGUGGCGCAGAAGUGCCCUUGAACGGGCCGCCAGAGAGGGUGACAGCCCCGUACGUGGUGCCACUGCCUAACGAGCGUCUCUUCGAAGAGUCGGGUUGUUUUGUAUUGCAGCCCUAAGUGGGAGAUAAACUUCUUCUAAGGCUAAAUACUUAUGGGAAACCGAUAGCGAACAAGUACUGUGAAGGAAAGAUGAAAAGAACUUUGAAAAGAGAGUCAAAAGACUUGAAAUCGUUGAGAAGGAAGCGGUAGAAAUUUAUUCUUCGGUGGGGGACGGUGGCGUCUGCCUAACCAUUGGCGGCUGUCAGUACUGUAUAAGGCUGCGGCUGUCACUUGGGGAAGCGGGCGUCUUGCCCCCCAUCGUGAGGCAAAAUGAGGUCGCGCAUCCGCAAAGGUUUCCCAGACCUGGCCUGGUUCGCCAGGCAGUUUGGGUUUACCAGCGGGCGUGCGGCCUGAGGGCGCUUUUGCGAUUUUGCCAAAAUGGUUUUUACCGACCCGUCUUGAAACACGGACCAAGGAGUCUAACAUAUAUGCGAGUGUGCUGGUGGAGAAACCAACACGCGUAAUGAAAGUAAGCGAUGCCAAGCGCAAGCAGCAGCAUCGACCGACCAUGAUCCUCCGGUGAAAGGUUUGAGUAAGAGCAUAUCUGUUAGGACCCGAAAGAUGGUGAACUAUGCCUGAGUAGGGUGAAGCCAGGGGAAACUCUGGUGGAGGCUCGUAGCGGUUCUGACGUGCAAAUCGAUCGUCAAACUUGGGUAUAGGGCGAAAGACUAAUCGAACCAUCUAGUAGCUGGUUCCUUCCGAAGUUUCCCUUAGGAUAGCUGGACAAUAACGCAGUUUUAUCAGGUAAAGCGAAUGAUUAGAGGCCUCGGGGGUAAAAUACCCUCGACCUAUUCUCAAACUUUGAAUUGGUAAGAACUCCGGCCUUUCUUAAUUGAGGCGCGGAGGCUCAAUGCGUGUCCUUAGUGGGCCAUUUUUGGUAAGCAGAACUGGCGAUGAGGGAUGCUCCUAACGUCGAGUUAAGGUGCCCAACUGCACGCUCAUCAGACACCACAAAGGGUGUUGGUUCAUCCAGACAGCAGGACGGUGGCCAUGGAAGUCGGAACCCGCUAAGGAGUGUGUAACAACUCACCUGCCGAAUGGACUAGCCCCGAAAAUGGAUGGCGCUUAAGCGUGCGACCGAUACUCGACCAUUGUAGCGAGAGUGAGGCUGCAAUGUGUAGGAGGGCGUGAGCGUUGUUGCGAAGCCUCUGACGUGAGUCUGGGUUGAACAGCGCUUAGUGCAGAUCUUGGUGGUAGUAGCAAUUAUUCAAAUGAGAACUUUGAAGGCCGAAGUGGAGAAGGUUUCCGUGAGAACAGCAAUUGGUCACGGGUGACUCGAUCCUAAGACAUGGGGGAAAUCCUUGUUAAGUGCGCCAUCUGGCGCGUAGUCGAAAGGGAAUGAGGUUAAUAUUCCUCAAGCUGGAUGUGGGUGUUGUAUGGCAACAUAAGUGAGCUCAGAGACGCCAGCGUGAGCCUCUGGAAGAGUUAUCUUUUCUUUUUAACAGGCUAGCGACCUUGAAAUUGGAUUAUCCAGAGCUAAGGUGGCAUGCCUGGAAGAGCACUUUGCUUUUCGAAGUGUCAGGUGCGCUCACGAUGGCCCAUGAAAAUCUGAGGAGAUUAUCACAGCCA